This 7789-nucleotide long non-coding RNA is filed under the name Salmo salar (Atlantic salmon). Its description in RNAcentral is "lncRNA (ENSSSAG00000081739.1)". The record is from RNAcentral. Lineage: Eukaryota; Metazoa; Chordata; Actinopteri; Salmoniformes; Salmonidae.
UCUGCUUUUGGUGACGCCUGACCUUGAAUUGAAAAUGGAUGUUUGUACUUUUGUGGCUAUGUACUGUCCUAACAUAAUCUAACUUUAUGCUUUUGCCGUAAAGCCUCUUUGAAAAUCGAACAAUGUGGUUAGAUUAAGGAGAUGUUUAUCAUUUAAAUUGUGUAAAAUAGUUGAUUGUUUGAGAAAUUGAAAUUAUUAGAUUUUUGAUGUUUUGAAUUUCCAGCCUUGUUAGCAAUCCCGGCUCGGGGUUCAUUGCUAACCUGUAGCCCCAACAGGGUAUUAAGUUAAGAUCUUUUCAUUUUUCAGUUAAGUGCCUGCACCUGCUGUCCUUUCAAAUUCAAAUCCAAAUGUUUCAGUUGGGCAGUUAGGUUCCUGCAAGAACCCCGACCAACUAAGGAGGUUCCACGAUGAACCCCACCUCCUAUGGGGUUCUUGGAAGAACCUUUUGGGUGCAAUUUUCAGUGCCAAGAACCCUAAGGUUCUUUGAAGAACUUUGAGGAUCUUAGAAGAACUCUUGUUGAACCCCUAAUUUUUAGAGGGGAUCUGCUGUACCUAUGUUAUGCAGGAAAAAGUCAGUUACAAAUGAUUUUGUUUUGGUUAAAAACAGGUUGUCAUCCAGGAGGCUUUGAUUCAAUUUCCAAUAUCAUUGUGCACAUGGAAAUUCUGUAAGAAUAAUGCGGAUGCCAAUUAUUUAAUGGUCUGAUCGCAUUCUGCCCCCUAUAAAAAAAUUUUUUUUUACUUUUGGUGCCAGCGAGAAGAACACAAGAAAGUAGUCAAGACAACUAUCUUAAUUAAGGCUCCAUGUAUAUCUCAUUAGGUCAGGAUUUUAAGCCUCCUCCAUGUAUAUCUAACUAGGACAGGAUUUUUAAGCCUCCAUACAUCCACUUGUUGUAAUGUAUCCAUGACAUUCGUAAUUUCCCUAAGUGCAUGAGGGUGAUAGUUUGUAGUGUGAUUUCCUUCACGGUCCAUUGGGGUAGUUAAACCCGUAUUAUAAUCUCCCACCAUAAUAAUACAGUCAUUUGUUGCAUGUGAACUCGAUAGAGGAUUAUACAUAUUUUCAAAGAACCAUGGAUCAUCAUUAUUUGGACCGUAUAGAUUAAUUAGACAAAUCUGUUAAUGGUCCAAUAGCAUAUUUAAAAGGAUCCACCUUACUUGAGGUUCUGUUUGGACAGUUUGCAAAAUCGAUUUGAAAUUGUUAUUAAUUAAUAUCAUCACCAUCCCAGUCCUUUCCUCAUCUAUAGUUAUAGGGUAAGUUUUCCUGUAAACAAUAAAUAUUAUACCUUGUCCGUAGACUGCUUACAGGGUAAAGAAACCAACAUGUAAUUUGUCAUUUAGGUGAAGUAUCCCCUUAACAAGUUCAGGCAUGAAUUCCAAGUGGUUAGGGCUAAGGUUUGGGUAAGAGUUAAAACAGAGAGUGCCUAGCACUGGGAUUGAAUCUGCGAUGUUCGGAGUCGUAGCUCACCAUAGCUCAUAAUCCAUCCCCAUUGCCAUUUAUCAUCAGUUGAACGCUACUAGCGCACCACUAGCUAGAUAUUUGACAUCGGUUACAUCUCCACCAGAGAGGGUGGAAACACUCCUAACCUCCAAACCUGGCAGGCCUUCACUAAUGAGGAAUACGGGCUAGGCUGUCAGUGGGUUCAUUAAUGGAUCAAGGUUGCUUCCUUAACACAAACACACUGACAGAGGAAGUGAACGGAGCAAGAUUGUUUCCUUAACACAAACACACUGACAGAGGAAGUGAACGGAGCAAGGUUGUUUCCUUAACACAAACACACUGACAGAGAAAGUGAACGGAGCAAGGUUGUUUCCUUAACACAAACACACUGACAGAGAAAGUGAACGGAGCAAGGUUGUUUCCUUAACACAAACACACUGACAAAAGAAGUGAACGGAGCAAGGUUGUUUCCUUAACACAAUCACACUGACAGAGGAAGUGAACGGAGCAAGGUUGUUUCCUUAACACAAUCACACUGACAGAGGAAGUGAACGGAGCAUGGUUGCUUCCUCUGCAGAAAGACAGCAUCUAGCCCAAACACACACUCCUAUGAGUCAGCAGUUUAUGGGGAGCGUACUGUACAGUGCUUGUGAGCCAGUGGCUAAACUACCAAUCAUUUGGAAGGAAUGCCAUAAUUACUUUUGUAGGGUAAAAAGAGCAAGAAAAAAUGAAAGUUGAAGGUCCACAUCAGACUACAGUCUCUAAUAACACAGUUUCUCUCCCUCUGUAUUCGUUCCAGCCCCUCAGGGACCAAUGAAUGCCAACUUUCUGAUACACAGUUUGAUAGGAAGGCCUGUUUAGCUCUCUAACAAAUAUCAAUGUGGAAGUUUUACCUGUUGUUUCAACAAAUACUUUUCCGUAAAGGAGUAACUACUGCCUCCCCUGAUUCGUUUAAGGGUGUGCUUAUCUCUCCUGAAUGUCAACGGUAAUAAACAGUGCUAAACAUAAUAAUCGAUAAUACUCGUCAACAUACUUCAAAUCAAACCAUAUUCUAUUAAUCACAUGCACCUAAUACAACUGGUGUAGACUUUACAGUGAAACGCUUGCUCACAAACAUUUCCCAACUAUGCACAGUGGGGGAAAAAAGUAUAACUAAAACAAGAGGAAUGAAAUAAAAUACACAAGAAUGGAGCUAUUUACAGGAAGUACCAGUACCAGAUCACUGUGGAGCUAUAUACUGGGAGUACCAGUACCAGAUCAAUGUGGAGCUAUACACAGGGAGUACCAGUACCAGAUCAAUGUGGAGCUAUAUACUGGGAGUACCAGUAUCAGAUCAAUGUGGAGCUAUAUACAGGGAGUACCAGUACCAGAUCAAUGUGGAGCUAUACACAGGGAGUACCAGUACCAGAUCAAUGUGGAGCUAUAUACUGGGAGUACCAGUACCAGAUCAAUGUGGAGCUAUAUACAGGGAGUACCAGUACCAGAUCACUGUGGAGUUAUUUACAGAGAGUAUAAGUACCAGAUCACUGUGGAGUUAUAUACAGGGAGUACCAGUACCAGAUCAAUGUGGAGCUAUAUACAGGGAGUACCAGUACCUGAUCAAUGUGGAGUUAUAUACAGGGAGUACCAGUACCACAUCAAUGUGGAGCUAUAUACAGGGAGUAUCAGUACCAGACCAAUGUGGAGCUAUAUACAGGGAGUACCAGUACCAGAUCAAUGUGGAGCUAUAUACAGGGAGUACCUGUACCAGAUCAACGUGGAGCUAUAUACAGGGAGUACCAGUACCAGAUCAAUGUUGAGCUAUAUACAGGGAGUACCAGUACCAGGUCAAUGUGGAGCUAUAUACAGGGAGUACCAGUACCAGAUCAAUGUGAGGCUACAUACAGGGAGUACCAGUACCAAAUCAAUGUGGAGCUAUAUACAGGGAGUACCAGUACCAGAUCAAUGUGGAGCUAUAUACAGGCAGUACCAGUACCAGAUCAAUGUGGAGCUAUACACAGGGAGUAUCAGUACUAGAUCAAUGUGGAGCUAUAUACAGGGAGUACCAGUGCCAGAUCAAUGUAGACUUAUAUACAGGGAGUACCAGUACCAGAUCAAUGUUAGGCUAUAUACAGGGAGUACCAGUACCAGAUCAAUGUGGAGCUAUACACAGGGAGGACCAGUACCAGAUCAAUGUGGAGUUAUAUACAGGGAGUACCAGUACCAGAUCAAUGUAGACUUAUAUACAGGGAGUACCAGUACCAGAUCAAUGUGGAGCUAUAUACAGGCAGUACCAGUACCAGAUCAAUGUGAAGCUAUAUAUACGGAGUACCAGUACCAGAUCAAUGUGGAGCUAUAUACAGGGAGUAUCAGUACCAGAUCAAUGUGGGGCUAUAUACAGGGAGUACCAGUACCAGUACCAGAUCAAUGUGGAGUUAUAUACAGGGAGUACCAGUACCAGAUCAAUGUGGAGCUAUAUACAGGGAGUACCAGUACCAGAUCAAUGUGGAGCUAUAUACAGGGAGUACCAGUACCAGAUCAAUGUGGAGCUAUAUACAGGGAGUACCAGUACCAGGUCAAUGUGGAGCUAUAUACAGGGAAUACCAGUACCAGAUCAAUGUGGAGCUAUAUACAGGCAGUACCAGUACCAGAUCAAUGUGGAGCUAUAUACUGGAAGUACCAGUACCAGAUCAAUGUGGAGCUAUAUACAGGGAGUACCAGUACCAGAUCAAUGUGGAGCUAUAUACAGGGAGUAUCAGUACCAGAUCAAUGUGGAGCUAUACACAGGGAGUAUCAGUACCAGAUCAACGUAGAGCUGUAUACAAGGAGUACAAGUACCAGAUCAAUGUGGAGCUAUAUACAGGGAGUACCAGUACCAGAUCAAUGUGGAGCUAUAUACAGGGAGUAUCAGUGCCAGAUCAAUGUGGAGCUAUAUACAGGGAGUACCAGUACCAGGUCAAUGUGGAGUUAUAUACAGGGAGUACCAGUACCAGAUCAAUGUGAGGCUAUAUACAGGGAGUACCAGUACCAGAUCAAUGUGGAGCUAUAUACAGGCAGUACCAGUACCAGAUCAAUGUGAAGCUAUAUACAGGGAGUACCAGUACCAGAUCAAUGUGGAGCUAUAUACAGGCAGUACCAGUACCAGAUCAAUGUGGAGCUAUAUACAGGGAGUACCAGUACCAGCUCAAUUUGGAGCUAUAUACAGGCAGUACCAGUACCAGAUCAAUGUGGAGCUAUUCACAGGGAGUACCAGUACCAAAUCAAUGUGGAGCUAUAUACAGGGAGUCCCAGUACCAGAUCAAUGUGGAGCUAUUUACAGGGAGUAUCAGUACCAGAUCAAUGUGGGGCUAUAUACAGGGAGUACCAGUACCAGAUCAAUGUAGAGUUAAAUACAGGGAGUACCAGUACCAGAUCAAUGUGGAGCUAUAUACAGGGAGUACCAGUACCAGAUCAAUGUGGAGUUAUAUACAGGGAGUACCAGUACCAGAUCAAUGUGGAGUUAUAUACAGGGAGUACCAGUACCAGAUCAAUGUGGAGCUAUAUACAGGGAGUACCAGUACCAGAUCAAUGUGGAGUUAUAUACAGGGAGUACCAGUACCAGAUCAAUGUGGAGCUAUAUACAGGCAGUACCAGUACCAGAUCAAUGUGGAGUUAUACACAGGGAGUACCAGUACCAGAUCAAUAUGGAGCUAUACACAGGGAGUGCCAGUACCAGGUACUUGAGUUAAAUACAGUAUGUACUUGAAGGCAGGUUAAAAGUGAUCAGGAAUCAAGAUAGAUAGUAAUGCACGUAAAACAAAGAAUGGAGUAGCAGCAGCAAAUGAUUAGUGCAAAAGUGUGAGUGUGUGAGUGUGCGUGUAUGUAUUUUUCUUUGUAGUGUUUGAAUGUGUGAGGAAUUUGUGUGGGAGUGACAGUGUAGUGGGUGUGAAUGGUUGUGUAUGUGUUGUGUACAAUGCAUUCGGAAAGCAUUCAGACCCCUUGACUUUUACAAAAUUGUGUUACGUUACAGCCUUAUUACAAAAGUAAUUAAAUAACAUUUUUUUCCUCAUCAUUGCACACAAUACCCCAUAAUGAUAAAGAGAAAACAGGUUUUAAAAAAACAGAAAUACCUUAUUUACAUAAGUAUUCAGACACUUUGCAAUAAGACUCGAAAUUGAGCUCAGGUGCAUUCUUUUUCCAUUGAUCAUCCUUGAGAUGUUUCUACAACUUGAUUGGAGUGCACCUGUGGUAAACUCAAUUGUUGGACAUGAUUUGGAAAGGCACACACAUGUCUAUGUAAGGUCCCACAGAAGACAGCGCAUAUUAGAGCAAAAAUCAAGCCAUGGGGUCAAAGGAAUUGUCCGUAGUGCUCCGAGACAGGAGUGUGUCGAGGCACAGAUCUGGGGAAGGGUACCAAAAAAUUCUGCAGCACAGUUGACUCCAUCACUCUUAAAUGGAAGAACUUUGGUUGCACCAAGACUUUUCCUAGAGCUGGCCGCCCAGCCAAGCUGAGAAAUCUGGGGAGAAGGGCCUUAGUCAGGAGGUGACCAAGAACCGGAUGGUCACUCUGACAGAGCUCUAGAGUUCCUCUGUAGAGAUGGGAGAACCUCUGGUUCUCUGGUCUGAUGAAACCGAGAUUGAACUCUUUGGCCUGAUUGCCAAGCGUCACGUCUGGAGGAAACCUGGCACCAUCCCUAUGGUGAAGCAUGAUGGUGGCAGCAUCAUGCUGUGGAGAUGUUUUUCAGAGGCAAGGACUGGGAGAUUAGUCAGGAUCGAGGGAAAGAUGAACAGAGCAAAGUACAGAGAGGUCUUUGAUGAAAACCUGCUCCAGAGCGUUGAGGACCACAUACUGGGGCGAAGGUUCACCUUUCAGCAGGACAAUGACCCUAAUCACACAACCAAGACAACACAGGAGUGGCUUCAGGACAAGUCUCUGAAUGUCCUUGAGCGGCCCAGCCAGAGCCCGGACUUGAAACCGAUCGAACAUCUCUGGAGAAACCUGAAAAUAACAGUGCAGCGACACUCCCCAUCCAACCUGACAGAGCUUGAGAGGAUCUGUAGAGACAAAAGGGAGAAACUCCCCAAAUACAGGUGUGCGAAGCUUGUAGCGUCAUACCCAAGAAGACAUGAGGUUGUCAUUGCUGCCAAUGGUGCUUCAACAAAGUACUGAGUAAAGGGUCUAAAAAGUAUUUAAAUGUGAUAUUGUUGUGUCAUUAUAGGGUAUUGUGUGUAGAUUGAUGAGCGGAAAAAACUAUUUAAUCAAUUUUAGAAUAAGGCUGUAACAUAAUACAAUUCUGAAAAAGUAAAGGGGUUUGAAUACAUUCCGAACGCACUGUAUAUAACGUCUAGUGAGUGUCUGUAGGGUCAGUGCAGAUUGGGUACUAUUAAUUGACUAUUUAGCUGUCUGGUUAUUUUGCAGUCAUAUGUCUUGGUUGUAAAAGCUGUCUCGGAGCCUGUUGGUCCUUAGAGCCGAUGCUCAGGUAUCAUUUGCUGGACGAUAGCAGAGUGAACAGUCUAUAGAUUGUGUGGCUGGAGUCGUUGGCAAUUUUUCGGGUCUUUCUCUGACACUGCCUGAUAUAGAGGUCCUGGAUGGCAGGGAGCUCGGUCCCAGUGAUGUACUGGGCUGUCCACACCACCCUUUGUAUCGCUUUGCUGUCAAGGGCGGUGCAAUUGCCACACCAAGCGGUGAUGCAGCCACUCAAGAUGCUCUCGAUGGUGCAGCUGUAGAACUUUUUGAGGAUCCAAAUCUUUUCAGCCUCCUGAAGGGGAAGAGGCGGUGCUGUGUCCUCUUCGUGACUGUGCGGGUGUGUGUGGACCAUGUUAAUUCCUUGGUGUCCACAUCAACAACAAACUAGAAUAGUCCAAACACACCAAGACAGUCAUGAAGAGGGCACGACAAAGAAUAUUCCCCCUCAGGAUACAAAAAGAUUUGGCAUGGGUCCUGAGAUCCUCAAAAGGUUCUACAGCUGCAACAUUGAGAGCAUCCUGACUGUUUGCAUCACUGCCUGGAAUGGCAAUUGCUCGGCCUCUGACCGCAAGGCACUACAAAGAGUAGUGCGUACGGCCCAGUACAUCACCAGGACCUCUACACCAGGCAGUUUCAGAGGAAGGCCCUAAUAAAUGCCAAAGACCCCAGCCACCCCAGUCAUAGACUGUUCUCUCUACUACCGCAUGGCAAGCGGUACCGGAGUGCCAAGUCUAGGACAAAAAGGCUUCUCAACAGUUUUUACCCCCAAGCCAUAAGACUCCUGAACAGGUAAUCAAAUGGCUACCCGGACUAUUUGAAUUUGUGAGCCCCCCCCCAACACCUCUUUUUACGAUGCUGCUACUCUCUGUUUAUCAUAUAUGCAUUGUCACUAUAACUAUACAUUCAUGUACAUACUACCUCAAUUGGGG